GCGCGAUUAGUUUAGUGGUUAGAAUCCUCGCUUCCCAUUCUCAUCGUGGAAAUGCGAGGGACUCGAGUUCGAAUCUCGGAUCGCGCA
Molecule: transfer RNA, 87 nt
Filed under: Bombardia bombarda
Lineage: Eukaryota; Fungi; Ascomycota; Sordariomycetes; Sordariales; Lasiosphaeriaceae
Rfam family: tRNA
About the family: Transfer RNA (tRNA) molecules are approximately 80 nucleotides in length. Their secondary structure includes four short double-helical elements and three loops (D, anti-codon, and T loops).
Source: Rfam by way of RNAcentral